AGAGUUUGAUCCUGGCUCAGAGCGAACGCUGGCGGCAGGCCUAACACAUGCAAGUCGAACGAACUCUUCGGAGUUAGUGGCGGACGGGUGAGUAACACGUGGGAACGUGCCUUUAGGUUCGGAAUAACUCAGGGAAACUUGUGCUAAUACCGAAUGUGCCCUUCGGGGGAAAGAUUUAUCGCCUUUAGAGCGGCCCGCGUCUGAUUAGCUAGUUGGUGAGGUAAAGGCUCACCAAGGCGACGAUCAGUAGCUGGUCUGAGAGGAUGAUCAGCCACAUUGGGACUGAGACACGGCCCAAACUCCUACGGGAGGCAGCAGUGGGGAAUCUUGCGCAAUGGGCGAAAGCCUGACGCAGCCAUGCCGCGUGAAUGAUGAAGGUCUUAGGAUUGUACAAUUCUUUCACCGGGGACGAUAAUGACGGUACCCGGAGAAGAAGCCCCGGCUAACUUCGUGCCAGCAGCCGCGGUAAU
This 470-nucleotide ribosomal RNA is filed under the name uncultured bacterium. Its description in RNAcentral is "bacterial SSU rRNA". It matches the Rfam family "Bacterial small subunit ribosomal RNA", at positions 8 to 524 of the family's 1533-position model. The record is from RNAcentral.